GUCAAUUGUUUAAAUACCUAUGUAUUUUCUUCUUGAAACGACGUUCAUUUUUCCUUAUUUAUUAUUCAGGACAGUUACCUAUUCCAGUUACCGGCGUUAUACUUUUCAAAUACCUAAACAUCCGAUAAACGCUGGGAACAAAACUGAAGACGCCAUUCUUGUAAUGGAAGUCGUGUCUAUCUACGAUGUGACAUUGUUUCGUAAGUGAUUUGCAACAACAAAAUUGUCCAGAUGGACCUAAUUUGAAAACCAGAAAGCAAAGCAAAGAUUGCCUCUGAGAGCGCUCGUGUGAUUUUCGUAAUAUAACCUAUCGUAAAAUCGGUAGAAAACAAAAUGACGUGGAACUCAGAAAUAUUAUAUGGCCAAUGUUCCCUCUUUUCUCGUCAACUUAUGGAUGAAUCUAGUGCUUUUUUACUACGAUCCAGUGUACGAUCAGUCUAUAAAGGAUGUUUAACAGGCCUACACAUCGUUAUUGUGCAUGAACUGAGUUUUAAACUUGGAAAAUUUAUUGCACAAGCAAGCAAGCCAACAACCCUGCUGAUAUGAUCCCCGGGUACCCGAUAAGCAUAAACUGUUUACCGGAACAAAAUAAAUUGGCUCUAUAUUAUGAAGAUACCAUGACAAAUGUAUUUUGAAGAAACAUUCACUCAUUGGACCAUUUAUUGUCUUGAAUAAAAGAAUGAUAAAUAAAUAUAUAAACAUUUUUUUGAAGAACUGACAUUCCCCCGCAGCGUCAACAUUCCCGCCUUCACUGUACAUCUACUAACUUUUCCCACUUAAGACAGGUACUCCAAUGAAUAUUGCCCAUAUAAAAAUUUUAAGUUGUUAAUGAAUGUAGGUACACAAAUGA
Cydia strobilella is the source of this 850-nucleotide long non-coding RNA. RefSeq lists it as uncharacterized. The transcript has 4 exons. Lineage: Eukaryota; Metazoa; Arthropoda; Insecta; Lepidoptera; Tortricidae. The record is from RefSeq and is a predicted model, not a curated record.